GGCGCUGUGGCUCAAUGGUUAGAGCGCCGGCUCUGUGCACCAGGGGUGGCGGGUUCCAACCUGGCCAGAGCCU
Molecule: transfer RNA, 73 nt
Filed under: Otolemur garnettii (small-eared galago)
Lineage: Eukaryota; Metazoa; Chordata; Mammalia; Primates; Galagidae
Rfam family: tRNA
About the family: Transfer RNA (tRNA) molecules are approximately 80 nucleotides in length. Their secondary structure includes four short double-helical elements and three loops (D, anti-codon, and T loops). Further hydrogen bonds mediate the characteristic L-shaped molecular structure. tRNAs have two regions of fundamental functional importance: the anti-codon, which is responsible for specific mRNA codon recognition, and the 3' end, to which the tRNAs corresponding amino acid is attached (by aminoacyl-tRNA synthetases). tRNAs cope with the degeneracy of the genetic code in two manners: having more than one tRNA (with a specific anti-codon) for a particular amino acid; and 'wobble' base-pairing, i.e. permitting non-standard base-pairing at the 3rd anti-codon position.
Source: Rfam by way of RNAcentral